RNAcentral lists this microRNA precursor (106 nucleotides) under Canis lupus familiaris (dog). RNAcentral describes it as "mir-8834 microRNA precursor family". It matches the Rfam family "mir-8834 microRNA precursor family". The record is from Rfam by way of RNAcentral. Lineage: Eukaryota; Metazoa; Chordata; Mammalia; Carnivora; Canidae.
AGAAGGAACAACCACGGUGGCGGCGGCAGCUCUGCAGCCCUGGAGUCAGCUCCCGCAGUGACUAUGGAGCUCUCCGUCUGUAGGGGCCUGGAUGCUCUGGGGGCGG